Vicugna pacos (alpaca) is the source of this 1014-nucleotide non-coding RNA. The record is from RefSeq and is a predicted model, not a curated record. NCBI's taxonomy places the organism in Eukaryota, Metazoa, Chordata, Mammalia, Artiodactyla, Camelidae.
UCAGGUGGGGAGGGGGUUCAGAAGGAGGUAGAGGAAGUUUGGAAAUGUGUCUCAUACAUUUGUUUUUCUCAUUUUCCCCUAGGUUUGCAUGCUAGCUUUCUAGUUGAAAAUCGGUGCAUCACUGACAUUGAACUGGUGGGUUCCUGACACUGUCUGGAAUCCAUUCUUACCAGUUUGGUUAGACUGACUACUUUCACAGCUGCAGGUGCCAGCUCUCCCUUCAGUUGUGGCUCAAGCCAGUCCAAAGGAAUCUGCUUUCUUCUUUUCUUCAGUCAACAGGAGUGACUAAAUAUCCACUGUCAAACAAGCUGACCAUUUUCUGAGGAUCAUCACUAUACGAUGGAUUAUGGCUUUUCCAAUUCAUCAAAUCUGAAGUGGGUUAUAGCUAUAAGUUGACCAGCUGGCUAGCAGUUUCCCCAAAGGACUAUCAGAUUGAAUCAAGGAAGUGCUUUCCAUGAUUGAGUAACAGUGUACACCAAUCUCAAUAAACAGAAAUACCGUUGACCAGCAAAUGCAAGCCAAACAGAAACGAGAAACCAAAACUGAAACACAACUGUCUUUUAAAUUCCGCUAAGCUUGUGACCAGGUCCAAGUGACCAAGCCUUUUAAGAGAAGGAGUGUCCCAAGACUGGGAAUCUCCCCAAAUGGGCAAGGUCAAGGAGGCCCAGGAGUGCAUUUCUGGGAACAUACCUAGGUCUGGUAGAAGGAAUCACAACCGCUCAGAUACUGUUCUUCCCCAAUGGGGAUUUUUUCCCCCCAUCCAGCAGAAAUUUUGGAGCAGUCCCAGUGGGUGGAGGGAGAGGGAAGGUCCCCAAGGCAAAGGGGGCCUUGACAGCUGCUGGGGCCUUCCUCUUUCCCUGACUUUUAGCCUCAUCUUGGAGUUUGGGCCAACAGGACAGCAAGUCAGGGCCCCCCUUCCAGGAGGCAGAGCCUACAAGUGAGUUCCCCCCUGGAGAUCUGGCCUCCUAAGUGACCCCCAAGCCUCCACACUCCCAAGGGAGGCUGGCAUGGAGG